CCAGAAAGCCCGUAGUGUGUUGUGUGUCUCUUCACUUCAUACUAUGUAUUUUCUAAGAACACGCAGGAAACCUUCAUCCAGCACCGGAUACCUUCCUUGGGCCGAGUGUCUGGACCUUACAAAGUGGUGACCCCGACGUGAUCUCCCUAAUUAUGCGAGUGACGUCUUUCCAGUGCUAAUUUCAAAUUGAUUCUCUCUGAAGAUAUAAGGUUUGAGCUUCUUCCCUGUCUACAACUGCUGUGGUAAGUUCAUUCAUUUUUCUUAUUAGAAGUGUUGAGGGAAAGCUUUUUGCAUUUCACAUACAGACACAUUUUUAGAAUGGGUCGACAUACCCAUUGUUAGACCGGAGACGUAGAAAUCCGGUGGGGGGAGAAUUAACCGGGAAACAUGGCUUUUCAGGGACAAUACAGUGACAGUGUAGAUCAGGAGAUCAUGGAAAUUCAAGCAUUACAAAUAAAAGACACACUUCUUAGUUUAAAUGAUAAAGGAUUCAAUCUUAAAUGGAAAAACAAUGAAAUUGUAGCUUGGUUUUUGGCCGAGGGCAAAAAAUUGGCAUCUAAAUCGAAAUAUAAGAAUAUCCCAACUGCUAUCGUCUACCUGCUUCGUAAAAAUGACCUCGAGACAAUAGCUGAAAACAAACGAACAAUAACAAGCAUCAAAGAAAUUGAAAAAGGGCGCUCUGAAGAAUUGCAAAAACUAAGAGCACAGAUAGAGGCAUUUACAUUCGAAAGACAAGGCUGGGCAAGACAGAGUGAGAUGAUGUCAAGAAAACUCGAAGAGCUUCAAAAGAAACUCCAAACCGGCAAUAAUUAUAUAUCAGCUCUUGAAGACUGCUGUAAUAAUGCGGGCUUCCCAGUGGCUGCAGUUAAGCAAGCGGCACUGCAUGAAACCUUUGAUUAUGAUAGAAACAGCGAUAGUGACGAUGAUGAUGUUGCCGCAUUAGAUUCUCAGAGAAACCGAGAUCCCGUCCAGAGACACGGAUAACAAAAUCAGCGAAGUCCGAUUAAAACCAGAGCAAAAUCCAGCGAAAAACCCUCCAAAUCAGUUAAAAUUGCUGUACUCAAAACCAUAACAAAUACAAACGAUGAAAUAACCACGAUUAGCCGCCCAUUAACAUGCGAAGAGUGUACAACACACAAACAGAUCGUGGGAAUGAUGCCCAGAAGAGGGCCAUUCCAACCCUAUUGGGAAACACUGAUGCUACAAGCCACAGUGUAUAAAUUGGAAACUAGAGAUGUAUGGCAAAUCGCACUCUUAACCAUUCCUGAAGAACUCCGAUCUAAAUUAACCUGGAAUAAAUCUGGAGACAUAAUCAAGCGAAACAAUAACGAAACUGAUGAAAGUAUCUUUGAACGAUUAAAACAGGCAUUGCUAGAUAUAAGGGGUCCAACAAGCGCAGAUUGGAGCAGGAUACUACAAAUUAAGCAGGAAAGCAAUGAACCGUUUGAAACAUUCGCCGAACGUCUGUGGACGAAUAUUCCGGUCUAAAAAAUGCAAGCCGUGAUCACGAACCAUUGUUACAACUCAUAAAGAACAAUGCUGGCACUCCAGUCCAAAAUGCUUUGUUAAACGGAGCAGAUUCAGCCGAAAACACAUUCAGAGCGAUUGUAGAUUGGGGUUCAAGGAUAGAAAACAGAUGGAAAUCAAAGCCCCAAACCAUUGCAUCUGCACAGUGGAUGACAGAAGGGAAUUAUUCUAAAAGCAAUGGGGGUGAAAAGCAUGUCCACUUCUUGGAGGAGGUGACUUGCUGUGAUGAAUCUAGAACUUUUAGUUCAUAGGAAGCCUGUGCCACUGGUCAAGAUAGUGUGCCGAUUUCAGUUCUUAAGGAGAUGCAGCACCAUAAUAGCGUAGAGUCGUGGACCAGUGCGCAAGGUGUAAAAAAAGCAUUAGAGAUUCAUAAAAAUCCUCAAACUUCAGGAGAACACAGCAAACAAACCUGUGGCAAAGAUAGCAGGUUUUGUUCUUCCUGUCAGAAAAUAGGCCAUACAGAGGAAAAAUGCUGGUCACUGGGAAGGGGUAGACCUCCACCUUAUUUUCAGAAACGUAGGAUAUCACUUUCUAAAGGAAAAGAUCAGGGGUUGACAUGUAACAAGUCUACCUCUGGUAUAAUGCAAGUUAAUGCAAGGCCUUCAGCUACUGACUUCACUUACUAGUGGGUUAGCAGUUUAAUAGCAAUGAGUUUAAUAUGGAAACAUCCAAAUUUCAAUAAUCCUGCUUGCAUUUUCAAAUUUAUAAUUGUGCUGAACAUUGUGAGCAUAGAAAACACAUUAUAGUUGUUUGUGCUACUAAAUGUACACAUAGCUUAGUUUAGUUUAUUCUUUAAAAAACACAUGACUGCUUUACUGUAAGUGUGUAAACACUUAGGUUUAAGGUUGUAGAUGCUACAUGCAUUCUAGACCAUGUGUCUUGUGUAAAAUUGGAAUAACUUUAAUACUGGAAUUGCAUCGCAAUUUCAAGUUGCAUGUGUGUCUGUGUUGAAUUUGUUUGUCUCCUGAGUGGUACACUCUGCUAUUUUCUGUAUAGCUGCAGUUAAACCAUGUAGAGGAGCAUAGAAUAGCCAUGUGGCCACAGUGUGAUUUCAUAAAUGUCUUAAUGAAAAUGCUCUCCUCACAUGUGAGAACUUAAACCUUGUGGCAGAUUGAUUGCUUCACAGUGCCAAAAGGGAGGAAGUGUGAUUUCAUUUCAAUAGUGUGGCACAAGCGAUAGCAAACCAAUUCAUCCUUCACUGAGGAGCACCAACUAAAAAUUUGAUCUGAUCAGAGAGAAUGGCUAACAUUAUUUGGAAAUGGAAACUCUGAAUUUGCAACUAAUCUUGUAAUAAUAAAAACAUUUUAUGGAAGUAUUUUGAGCCAGAACUCAACUCACACUCGCUCUUAGAGGCUAUUACCUGUUACAGCAACAGGACCAAAUUUACAUAACAAUUGUAAAACUUCCUUUCCUUUGUUUGGAGCAUGACAGCAUUUACACAAAGCCACAGUCGUAUACAGCCACAAAACACCAUUUGAUCUUUUAAUCUUUUAAAUUGACUUGAAAAAUAAUGAGAGGGGGGUGUAAAAUACAAGAAGUUUUUAUGUGCCACAGAGAUCUGCAUGUGUGAACAACACCAUAAAACAACAAUUGCCAUAAAACAACAAUUGUCAAACAGACAACACCAAAACAGGUGAACACAUUUCUGCCCACAGAUCUGACUGUAAUGAGAGCAACAGCAACUAAAGCCAUGGACAUUGGUCCAUUGGAAUGCAUGAUGACAUGGGUGAUAAAAACACCAAUUAAUCUAGAAAAUGUCCCCAGUAGAACUGGGAUCUCUAAUGCUCAUGACACAACAGACUGUGAGGGCUCUACUGCAAGAGCAGCAUCAGGUGUUACACACUCAGACUGCACUGAAACAGGAGCAGUAAUUCAGAUCUGACCAACCGAACUCCGUUUCAUGUGACAUCUGGAUUAAAACUGCAGUACAUGAGGAUGAACGUAGUUAAAAUAAUUCCACAUGCCUGAACAUGAAACUGAUGAAAAGUUCAAAAUUAACUGUGGUUAUCUUUGUAUCUGUUUCUGUCUCAGGUUGACCAAUGCAAUUCUUUGGAGGACAGAUACCAGGAGGGUGUCUUGUCCCCUCUGCACCAAGCCAGGACAACAGAAUUGUUACAUAACCUGAAAUGCGGGAGAUGAAUGUGAAGACACUUGAAGGGGCCAUUCACACCUCACAGGAGAACAUCACCACACAAAUAUCUACAUGGCCUCCCGGAUUAGAACCGGAACUAAAUUUUUGCAA
Molecule: long non-coding RNA, 3769 nt
Organism: Carassius auratus (goldfish)
Lineage: Eukaryota; Metazoa; Chordata; Actinopteri; Cypriniformes; Cyprinidae
Exons: 2
Source: RefSeq, a predicted model, not a curated record